GGAAGUAAAAGUCGUAACAGGGUUUCCGUAGGUGAACCUGCGGAAGGAUCAUUAACAAUCAUUGUUGUUGUGUGUGGUAGUCAUAUGCCAUGCAUCUACACAUUUGUACCACAUUUCCUGAUUGGGAAUGUGUCAUAUAAAAUGACUAAUGAACACUAAUUUAUCAUAAACAACUUUUAACAACGGAUCUCUAGGCUCUU
Molecule: unclassified non-coding RNA, 200 nt
Filed under: plant metagenome
Description: partial contains small subunit ribosomal RNA, internal transcribed spacer 1, and 5.8S ribosomal RNA
Rfam family: Eukaryotic small subunit ribosomal RNA (bases 1-54)
Source: RNAcentral